UUUUAAUUCAACAUCGAGGUCACAAACCUAAUUAUUAAUAAGAACUUUCCAAUUAAAUUAUGCUGUUAACCCUAGAGUAACUAAAUUAAUUUUUCUUUCCUAUUUAAAAAUUUUUAUCUUCAAAUAUUGCCCCAAUAAAAAACUUAAAACUUUUAAGCUUCUAGGGUCUUCUCGUCCCAAAAAUUUAUGAUAGCAUUUUUACUAUCAAUUAAAAUUUAAAAUUAUUUUAUAAAACUUUCCUCUUAGAUUCUAUCCUUCAUUCCAGUCUUCAAUAAAAAGA
This 280-nucleotide ribosomal RNA is filed under the name Stygnicranaus sp. MZSP 73075. Its description in RNAcentral is "partial large subunit ribosomal RNA". Lineage: Eukaryota; Metazoa; Arthropoda; Arachnida; Opiliones; Cranaidae. The record is from RNAcentral.